CGCGUAGGCGGCCGAUCAAGUCGGAGGUGAAAUCCCUCGGCUCAACUGAGGAAUGGCCUUCGAUACUGUUCGGCUUGAGUCCUGGAGAGGGUAGCGGAAUUCCCGGUGUAGCGGUGAAAUGCGUAGAGACCGGGAAGAACACCAGUGGCGAAGGCGGCUACCUGGACAGGUACUGACGCUGAAGCGCGAAAGCUAGGGAGCAAACA
This 206-nucleotide ribosomal RNA is filed under the name uncultured bacterium. RNAcentral's name for it is "partial 16S ribosomal RNA". It matches the Rfam family "Bacterial small subunit ribosomal RNA", at positions 568 to 774 of the family's 1533-position model. The record is from RNAcentral.